AUGAUCAUUUGUGACAGGAAUUAGGUCAGUUUAAUUACCUUAAACUUCAGAUGAGCAUCCACCUCUCUCCUGGCUACUUUUGGAUGUGUAAACAAUGCACAGCCAGCACCAAAGCAGAGAACACCAGGAGCCCCAGCAGCUGCUGGAGACCCUCCCCACACACAAACACCCAGCUCCGUGCCUCAGAGACAAACCCUGGCAGCUUUCCAGGGGUAGAGAUGAUCAUAUGUUAGAAACAGCUUUGGGAACAGACUCUGUCUCCUCUCCCAUCUCUGAGGUGCAUUGUACAAGGGCUGGAUAAUGUAACUGUAAUAUAGAACAUAUUGUAAUAUAGAACAGUGCAGGGCUAAUUUUGAGUCUGCUCCUGAUUUAUCUGUGAUGUCAAGAUAUUCAGUAGAUACCUCGAGAGCAUUUUAAAUAGUCUCUAAAUAAAGCAAGUCAUUAUUUCUUGCUAAAAAUGGGGUUUAAAAUGAGCUAGUUACUGUAAAAAACAACAAACUGUAAAUUGUUUUCCAAUUUCAUAAGUCCCUUUCCUGUUUCCAAGUGAUCUGUGGUAAUAAAGUAUCAACAUGGAGAUCAAAUGCCCCAACAAAAUUAUUUAAUGACUUACAGAAUGUAUAUCCCUACAACCUAAGCUAAGACAAACAUAAUCACACACCCUUUUUAUUACAGUUCUUUAGCCACUGGGGAUAGAAAAAUAAUUUAGCUACCAGUUCACUAUUUUUCAUUGUCAUCCCAUUACCCACAAGUUCUGUUUUCCAUGUAUCUCUUUUUAGGAGCUCCUGAACCAACAAACCUGGAAGGUGCAGCUGUUUGAGCCCUCAGUGGUGAGAGGAAUUUCUGGAUUUUCCAGAAGGAUUGGAAGGGAGGACAUGGGUUCCAGGCUGAGAAGUUGAAAAACCUUUUAGAUGAGACCUCCAGGAACUCAGUCAGUGUAGUAUGAGCUCACCUUUAAUGUCAGGCGAUGUUCUGAUGUUAAAUCUCCAGAAUUUUGCACAAGGAGGAGCAUCCACUGCUGGGGCAGGACAGCUCUCACCCCCCUGCUCUGAGGGCAUCCUGAGAGCUGCCAAAAUCCACCUGGAUGGACAAAGUGAGGAAAAUCCUUCAUUCAUCUGUCCUGAGCUGGGAUGUGCGGCCCUUCCAUCCCUCCCUGAAGGACUCUCCCCACAUUUAGGAUCCCUGUCGUUUCAGGGAUGCUGCACAGCUCUUAAACCCUGCUGGGGAAAACCCAGGAGCAGCAAAUUCCAGAGGGAUUUGUGUGGGAGGAAAUCCUGUGGCCCUGUUUGCCCUGCACAGCCAAAGAUCAUCUGCCUUGUUUUCCACCCGGAGCCGUCUGCAGAGGGGAUCUGAGCCAGCACAACUCCUUGCUAUGGAGACUUGCUCCUCGGUGACGUGAGCGGAGAGUUUUGCAUGAAAAUCAAAAGAACAAUCUCUGAGGAGUCUCUCCUCUGCUCUCAGACUGUCCUGAGAGCACAGCAUGGCCUGAAAUGAAAAAUCACACAUCUCCUUCUCUCUACAGCUGGAAAGGUUUAAUAAUUAAACCAAUUCUUUUGCUGUAACAAUAUGAAAUUAAAGGGUUGGGUUUUUUUUUGCUUACAAAUAAUAGACAGAGGCAAUCUGAGCUAAUCUGGUGUGUGAGUGUGGGGAAGGAUGUGCUGCAGAGCUGCUCUGGGGCAGAUGUUUAAUGACUGACUGAAUAAACCCUGUGUGCCCCAGCUG
Cyanistes caeruleus (blue tit) is the source of this 1719-nucleotide long non-coding RNA. Lineage: Eukaryota; Metazoa; Chordata; Aves; Passeriformes; Paridae. The record is from Ensembl.